This is a long non-coding RNA of Phyllopteryx taeniolatus (common seadragon), 1152 nucleotides long. RefSeq lists it as uncharacterized. Lineage: Eukaryota; Metazoa; Chordata; Actinopteri; Syngnathiformes; Syngnathidae. The transcript is spliced from 4 exons. The record is from RefSeq and is a predicted model, not a curated record.
UGAUUGGUCGACACAAAGUAGACGAGAACAGGUGGACACGACAACCUAAUGAGCAUACGACCAACAUGGAACACAGGAAAACAUGGAACAAACUAAACACAACCCAAACCAAAACACAGACCAUGACACCAGGCAGGACAUGCCCUACUGCAUGUACAUCCAUACGGGAAGGGCAGGCUUUGCAGAUGAAAUUAGAUGAUCUUUCCAAAUAUUUGUCACAUUUGUACAAAAUAAAAACAAUCACGUUUGUUAGGGUUAGUGGGAUUCAUAAUAAUGUCUCCAUAACACUUCCUUCAUGAGGUGGACUCAGUACCAAAGGCGGCAGCACCAGGCAGGCACUGAGGGCAACGUCAGCAAUUAUGCUAGUGCCAAGAGAGGAAAGAGGAAGUAGCACCCUGUGGCCCACCUGCCUCCAUUCAUCUUGGCGACGCUGAUGUGCUUCAGCAAUAGAAGCGACAACUUGAGAAUGACACAACUACAUUAUUGUAUGGCUCCCACACUUUCUGCCAGUGGGUCAGUGGGUGAGGGAAGAGUGGAUGGGAGUGGAGACAAGAGGCGAAGCUGUGGCCUCACGCCGCCAUCCAGGGGAGAGUGUGGGCAGCACGGGCACAGAGAAUGAGGAAGACAAGGACUUCCAAGGCCAAGUGGGUCAAGCUCUGCAGUAUACGUCGCCAAAAAUGGACAUGAUGACGCUCAACAGUUCGGCCUAUUGAUUUGUUAGCUGCUAUUUCAGCAAUGUUGAACAACAGAUGAGGGAGAGGAAAACUUGAUAUCAUCAGCUCAUAUCACUUGCCCCCGCAGUUUCUCUGAUUGCGCAAUCACCUGGGUAGACUCCAACAUGGUUUACUGUGUAUAGAUUGGACCAUAUUUGCGAACAAGAUUGCAUCUACUGCCUGAUGACUGCAUUCAUUCAUCGACUUCAGGAUAUAAAUAAUUGUAAAAAUGUAAAAACAACAGCAUUUCAUUAAUAUCCCCAUCACAAUGUUUUCUCGUAUUUUCUUCAGCUGCUCAAGUGCCAUUUCCAUCCAGAAGAUGCCAAAAAUCCACCUCCUAACCCAAAUUUGACCAAGGUGUAAAGAAUUUUGGCUACAUUUUUGUGUAUAUAAAUGUGUUUUUUUGGGGGGGGUCUUGGAACUCACUCAUCUAUCAAAU